This 683-nucleotide ribosomal RNA is filed under the name Nitrospinaceae bacterium. Its description in RNAcentral is "partial 23S ribosomal RNA". It matches the Rfam family "Bacterial large subunit ribosomal RNA", at positions 1 to 620 of the family's 2925-position model. Lineage: Bacteria; Pseudomonadati; Nitrospinota; Nitrospinia; Nitrospinales; Nitrospinaceae. The record is from RNAcentral.
GGUCAAGUGCAAAAGGGCUUGCGGUGGAUUCCUUGGCGCCAAUGGACGAAGAAGGGCGUAGCAAGCUGCGAUAAGCUUCGGGGAGCCGCUAACAGGCGUUGAUCCGGAGAUUCCCGAAUGGGGCAACCCCGCACAGGUCAUGCUGUGCGACCUUCGGCUGAAUACAUAGGCCGGAGGGGAAGACCGGGGGAAUUGAAACAUCUCAGUACCCCGAGGAAAAGAAAGCAACCGCGAUUCCCUAAGUAGCGGCGAGCGAACGGGGAACAGCCUAAACCAAGCGUUACGUUAAAACCCGUGGGUGUUGUACGUUUGGGGUUGUGGGGUUCGGCCGGGCGGAACUACGGAUCCGCCAGAAUGUUACAAAAACACGUUUUAGCUCAACAGACUGGAAAGUCUGGCCAUAGAUGGUGAAAGCCCAGUGAGCGAAAAGGCGUGUUCAUUCCGGGCCGAAUACCCGAGUACUGCGGGACACGAGAAAUCUUGCAGGAAUCUGGGAGGACCACCUCCUAAGGCUAAAUACUGUUGGCGACCGAUAGUGAACCAGUACCGUGAGGGAAAGGUGAAAAGCACCCCGGUGAGGGGAGUGAAAUAGUAUAUGAAACCGUAAGCCUACAAGCAGUGGGAGCACUAUACUCUAACUUCGGUAAGAGCAUGUGUGACCGCGUACCUUUUGCAUAAUGAGC